CGGCCGGCUAGCGGAGGUAAGAGGAAAGAGAGGGAAAAGUGAAGCACCCGGCUUCCUUAACAUAAUCUCGCGAUACUUUAGAAGAUACGCGGCGGCCGUGGAUGAAGUUUACUUUUAACGGACCAUUGGCGAUGAGGUCUCGAGUGCAGCUCGCGGAAUCUUUUACAGAGUGGGAAAACUCGUUGCUCUCGGAUAGCAAAGCAGUGGAUAGUCUCGAGCCCUUUUUUAGACCCACCUUCAGCUGAAAUAUCUACUCCACUUUGGCCAAGUGUCAAAAGUAGGAUAUGCUGACUGUGUUCAGCAGGUCAGCAGUUCAAAUCUCACCGGCUCAAGGUUGACUCAGCCUUCCAUCCUUCCGAGGUCUGCACUGAGUAAUCUUUCCUGAAACUUCCUCAUUGAUUCUUUGCUAAUUCCUUCUCCAUUACUAAGCCGGAUCUAUAUUCCUUCAUAGAAACAAUCCACAGUCAUGCUUUAUAAAUGAUAAAAAAGAUAUGGGUCUGCCUAUAAUAAUACUUUAUUUCCUUUUAUUUACCUUUACCUUACAUCUCUCUCUCUCCUCCCUCUCUCUCUAGUUUUGAUGGUAAUAAAAAUAUAUUUGAUUUAAUAUUUUGUUUUUGGUUUUUUUUAUAAAUGUUUUAUUGAUUUUCUAAUUUUACAUUUAAGUAUUCAAAAAGCAAAGUGGCGGCUGAGCCAAUCAAUAAUACAAUAACAUACAAAUAUCUUCAGUACAAAUCUCAAGCUACUACAUCAAAUUUUUCCUCUCUUUUCCCCUUAGUAUUCACUGUCUCCUGUCUAAACUAAUACAAUUCUUA
Molecule: long non-coding RNA, 812 nt
Organism: Crotalus tigris (Tiger rattlesnake)
Lineage: Eukaryota; Metazoa; Chordata; Lepidosauria; Squamata; Viperidae
Exons: 3
Source: RefSeq, a predicted model, not a curated record